Capsicum annuum is the source of this 495-nucleotide long non-coding RNA. RefSeq lists it as uncharacterized. Lineage: Eukaryota; Viridiplantae; Streptophyta; Magnoliopsida; Solanales; Solanaceae. The record is from RefSeq and is a predicted model, not a curated record. The transcript is spliced from 2 exons.
CUACUCUCUAACAUAUAAAGAAGAGUUUGAGAGAAAAAAUGUGGUUGAAAUUAUUUCUUUAAUCCUUCCCCCAAAUCUCCCUCUCAAAAUCUUCAAAAGAAAAGGGAACCUAGGUCUCCCUCUCUCAAAAUCAGAACAUUCAAAUUUGUCCCUUCUUUCUUAAUUUCUCCGUCUCGUUCAAAUUUUGUUCACGCCAUUUGUGUCUCAAGCAGCUUCAGAAAUAGAAGUCAACAACAAAGAAUUUUUCAAAUUCUUCGGAUUGGACAACUUAUAUGCCACAUCAAUUGGACGAAAAGCUAAGAUAUUUUAACUUUCAUACCUCUAUUGUGCGUAUUGCUGCAUCUUAUUGUUGAGUGUUUUAGAGAUUAUUAACAAGAGUACAUGUUGGCCUUGUAGUUUAGGAAUUCAAAAUUCACCUUCAGGUUUCAAGUUCACAUGAUAUGUAGACUUGUUGAUAGUUUGAGGCUUAUGGACCACUUUUUAGAAUGAUGAAUA